This is a long non-coding RNA of Peromyscus californicus insignis, 3191 nucleotides long. RefSeq lists it as uncharacterized. The transcript has 3 exons. Lineage: Eukaryota; Metazoa; Chordata; Mammalia; Rodentia; Cricetidae. The record is from RefSeq and is a predicted model, not a curated record.
UCUUCGUUCUGUGCUCUUUCUUUCUUAAUCCCAGAUAAGACAGAAAGGGCAGCUUUGGCCUGAGAAGUGCUAGCCAGCCCCAGCCUUCCCACACGUGUUCACAGGACCGCACCAGGUCAGCUUCAGGUACACUGCGCGCCUGUGCCAAUGACUCAUCGCCCGGAACAGACCAUUUUCAGGGAAGCAUGUUCUACGCAGUUGGCCUGUGCCUUUGGUGUCUUUGGAGCUUCGCUCAAUAUUAGCCAGGGUAUGCCCUGAAGAGUGGAAAAACUGAAGUCUGUGAACAUCCUUCUGUCUUGAGAAUACUGUUCUGAGAAGUAGAGGAGAAACUUCCUCCCUGGGGCCAGCUGACUGGCUGCCUCAGCUUUUCAAAUUUUUGCCUCCUACUUCAACCCUGCUCCUCCAGAAGAUAAGGAAGGUCACAAGAGUUCGUGAUGAAAAAUUACAAAGUCCAUCGAGGGUUGGUGCAAAGGGCAGGGAAAGGCAGGAAGCAGAAACGGCAAACUGGGAGUGGAGGGAGACCCCGUAAGCUCUCAGAGCCCUCCCCUGGUGGUUGGAUACAGAUCCUCCAGCUCCUAAAGAUUUGGUAACUUCACCAAGCAGCGCCACCAAAUGGAGAACCAAGUAUUCAAAGGCCUGAGCCUAUGAGGGACGCUUCUUUGUUUCGGGAUCAUGGUGGAUGAAGGGGAAAGAACCGUUGCUAUGAAACACAGUUCCAGGUUUCCAGGGCCUCACAAAGCCGCCUUUUAGAAGUACUAAACCGUUUCCCUUGGCAUCUUCAGAGCUAUUUUAUUCUCCAUCUUACAAGAAUGCCUUAUACUCAUGCUAACACUCUGUUCACUUGACAGGAUCUGCUCGAGUCUUGUGCCAUGCCUGGAGUUCCCAGGGGCGUGGUCUCCACAUCCCUUCCCUUUCUGUUCCCUGCAAAGAGACCAUCAGAGAGCCUCUAGAACUCUGAUGUGAGACUUCUCCCCCACCAACAAAACUGUGAACAGUAUGUCCUUGGAAAUAGUGUCUAAAAUAGUAGAGCAUUAGACAGAAUCAAAACACUAAAAAUAAAUGAUGGAUAAAAUAAAAUAUGACAUAGAUCCAUAGUCAUUGAGCCAGGAAUACCCCCCUCCUAUUAAUAACUGAGGAAAAUAUUUGUUGCAGAUAAAUGAUUGGCGCAUACUCACUACUAUAGAUGGGAAUUAUUUAUUAAACAGUUGCAUUUUUGAGCUAGGACAUACAUCAGAUAUGUGUCACAGCUAUGAGUAACUUCCUUUCACUUAUAUUUGUCUGCAUUUUUUAAUGUUUUCUAAGUGAUUAUGAACAGCAGGAGAAGUCAACCCCCAAAAAAAUGUGUAAUAAUUGUCUCUGAUGAAAAGAAACAAUCCCAUUGUUUUUCCAGUCCUUGCAAACCUUGUUAAAGCUCAAAGUUCUCUUCUUAAAAACAAGUGCAUUAAAUCUAAGAGUCAGAGGCGCCAGCGAUCUACAUUAGGAAGACGUCAGGGUUCAGAACGACUUAGAGAAGAGAUGACGCAGGGGAGAUGUGCUCACAGAGACAAUGUACCACAAAAAAUACCGGAGACGCUCCAGUGCAGCGGUGGGCAGGAACGAGACAAGGUGAAGAAAAGAAUAAUGAAGGUAAGUUGGAAGUUUAUGUAACAAGUGUUGAUCUGCCUCUGCCUCCUCCCUCCCCACCCUCAGAACUCCAUUAGCCAGAAAGUACUUGAGGCACCCUAGACUUGAGAUUCACUCUCCGGGGAAAUCAAAGGGAGGAGAGUCUACAGACUUGAGGACGCAAAGCUCACUCGGUACAGCUCAGGGCUCAAAGCACACACAGGAAAUGGUUCAACUGCAAAUCUUUCUCAACUCCUUCAAACCCCUACAAGAGAGUCAGGAAAUAGCUAGAAGACACUUCUCUUGACGUUCCACUGAAAAGAACCCCUUUUUCUUCCUCCCUUCCUUCCUUUCUGUGAAGAUGUUUUUUAUUGAAAAAAUCACAAUAGUUAUAACUUGCCAACUUAAAUAAUAAUCAUCUCCCACAUAUAUUCUUUUCUUAAUUUUUAUUUGUUCUUUGAAAUUUUCAUACAUGUAUACAAUAUAUCUUGAUCAUAUCCACCCCUCAUUACCCAACUUUAAUUCCACCCUCCAGGACCCCAGGUUGCAUUUCCCUCCCAACUUCAUGUCCUGCUUACAUAAUUUUUUUGCUUAUUUUUUUAAUCCACUGAGUCUAAUUAGUGCUGUCAAUAUGGCGCAUGGGUGUAGGUUCAUCUACUGGGACACAAGGAGAUUACCAAUGGUCACAAGGCAGACAAAUGGAUGGAUCUAGAAAAAAUCAUCCUGAGUGAGGUAACCCAGACUCAGAAAGACAAACAUGGUAUGUACUCACUCAUAGGAGGAUACUAGAUGUAGAACAAGGAUGACUGGACUGCUACUCACAUCACCAGGGAGGCUACCUGGAAAACAGAACCCCAAGAAAGACACAGGGAUUGCCCAAUGGCAGAGAAAUGGAAUGAGAUCUACAUGAAUAGCCUGGACAUGAGCGGGGGUAAUGAAGGGCGAGGGUCGAGGGAAAGAGAGCUUGGGGGAGUGGGAGAUCCCAGCUGGAUCAACAACAGAGAGGGAGAACAAGGAAUAGGAGACCAUGGUAAAUGAAGACCACAUGAGAAUAGGAAGAAGCAAAGUGCUAGAGAGGCCCACAGAAAUCCACAAAGAUACCCCCACAACAGAGUGCUGGCAAUGGUUGAGAUACACCCCGAACUGACCUACUCUGGUGAUAGGAUGGCCAAACACCCUAAUUGUGCUAGAAACCCCAUCCAACUACUGAGCUAUCUGGAUGCACAGAUCCAUGGCUAGGCCCUGGGUGGAUCUCUGGGAGUCCAAUUAGCGAGAAUGAGGAGGGUUUAUAUGAGCGAGAAUUGUUGAGACCAAGGUUGGAUAAAGCACAGGGACAAAUAGCCAAACAAAUGGAAACACAUGAACUAUGAACCAAUGGCUGAGGGGUCCCCAACUGGAUCAGGCCCUCUGAAUGGGUGAGACAGUUGAUUGGCUUGAUCUGUUUGGGAGGCAUCCAGGCAGUGGGACCGGGUCCUGUGCUCAUUGCAUGAGUUGGCUGUUUGAAACCUGGGGCCUAUGCAGGAUCACUUGGCUUGGCCUGGGAGGAGGGGACUGGACCUACCUGGACUGAGUCUACCAAGUUGAUCUCA